RNAcentral lists this long non-coding RNA (1538 nucleotides) under Felis catus (domestic cat). RNAcentral describes it as "lncRNA (ENSFCAG00000050391.1)". Lineage: Eukaryota; Metazoa; Chordata; Mammalia; Carnivora; Felidae. The record is from RNAcentral.
CCCGGGAACAGCUCAGCCCGGGGCAGAGACAAAGCUUUGGGCUAGAGGGUGAAGUGUCCCAGGAAACCAGAGGCUGGGAUCCAGGCGUGUAGUUGCCUGGGUGGGCUAUUCCUGGCUCAGUGAGCUGAGAGUGGGGAAGGGGACUCAGAUCCGGGGCCCUGGGAAGGUCUGGGCCUGCGUAGAAGGAAGGUUUUUGCUGUUGCUGUGGGGUCGCUUUGUGCGUUUUGGGUUUUUCCGAAUAGUGCUUUUUCUUUUUUUUUUUUUUUUAAUUUUUUUUUUCAACGUUUAUUUAUUUUUGGGACAGAGAGAGACAGAGCAUGAACGGGGGAGGGGCAGAGAGAGAGGGAGACACAGAAUCGGAAACAGGCUCCAGGCUCUGAGCCAUCAGCCCAGAGCCCGACGCGGGGCUCGAACUCACGGACCGCGAGAUCGUGACCUGGCUGAAGUCGGACGCUUAACCAACUGCGCCACCCAGGCGCCCCCGAAUAGUGCUUUUUCUAUUAUCGCCGGACCUUCAAGAAAGUCUCCGAUAUUUUAAAGCCUAAUGCAGAAAAAAUAGUGACGAGAGGCCUGACUUUCUACUGGAAGAAUGAAGCACCUGAAUGAGACAGGAUUCUCUCGAUGCCUCCAAAUGCCGAGAAUUAAACUUAGAAGAUUAAUCAUAGAGCUUAUGAAGAGCCGUUGAGGACAGCAACUGCAGAAUGGGACAUACAGGUCAUGUUUCUGGGUUGGGAAGGUGCUUGGAGAGAUUUGAGGGAGGUGAGUACUCGACACAUGUGAGGGUCUGUUCCUUGGUCCCCACUUUGGGGCCAACAUUCUGAUGUAAGGGAGUGACGAUGACCGGCAAAGAGGUGCAGAGAAACUCAAAGCAGAUUCGUUCGUUUCCUGCUUUCCAGGACAUGGCAAAGUUGUAAGACUCCUAGAGAUGCCCCGUGAUUGGGAUGGUGCCGGAACAACUCGAUCGUAGGAAGUGGAUUAGCAGUGGGUGAGAGGACUGUUUGCAUGGAUGUGCCGAUGCCCCUCUACUUCCCCUGCCCCAGGGAAGCUUCACAGAGGCCCAGACCCUCCAGAACAGGACAAGGAAUGCAGCUAGGGGGUCUGGGACUGCAAAGGAGGGACACAGAAGUGCUGAGAGGCUUGAAAGCCUAGAAAAGUGGUAGGGUCGGGACAAUGGGAGGCAAGACUCACUAAUGUCAGCAGCAGAAGUCCGUGUACAGUGGCCAAAGGCCAGGUGACCCCCGCCCAAAAGAGAGACAAGACCUCAGGGGACAGCAACAAAGACAGGAUGACAGCUUAGGGACUGGGCCAUCCUUCAUCAUCGCCAUUAUGAAAUUUAAGGUUCCUCCUGAGCCAAAAAGUCACUUGGGAAUAGCAAGACGGGGGAGGGCAAAUCCCCUGCAAGUUGGAACACUCCAGCUUUUGGAACAUGCCAAGGAACGCUAGAAACUUAGCAGAGACUGGUGCUCAGGAGGGAGGAAUUUAGGCAAGAGUGAGAUAAAAAUUCUAGGCAUGGACCUGUGGGAUCAAGGAAAAGUCCC